UUUUAAUAUAUAUUUUAAAAUGGUUGUCACCACAACUGUAAAUCCUGUUAUUUAGGCCGGAAGGCCUAACAAAGCCUACCCAGAGUAGGGAGGGUUUUGGAGAUAUCAGUUUGUGGCAAGGAGAUAAAGGCAAACUGAGGCAAGAGAUGAGUGGUGAGGUUGGCAAAUAUUCAGUGUGCUCCACUGUCGUGCCACACAAUUCCCCACGUGUUGCUGUGAAGUGUAUCCAUCUCAGCAUUGUCAAGUUCCUCCUCUGGGGGCUAUUUAAUGCAGCUGGAGUGACAGGCAAGAUCAAAAUACUGCAGGAAUGCUUUCCCAGUGGAUGGUGCUUGCUUUCCCGUGCUAAUCCUUGCCUUCAUGGUCUUCUCUGAAGCCCCUGGGGUCAUGGUGGUGUCCAGCUUCUGCUGGGAGCUUUGGGACCACACGUUGUUCUUUGGCACCUCUGCCAGAGGGGGUGCCCAUAGUGCCACUGCCCAGCUCUGAAAACAAGCUCAAAUUUCUUGCUUGGAGAACACAACUCCUUCAGAAAUAGACUUCAAGGUCUGAGUUUCAUUUGGGAAAAAAUGCAGAUGUGCUACACCAGAAAGACUGCUCCAGCAGCAGAACUUCCCCUCCAGCUCCCUCAGCUUCUUUUGACAGGCCCUUGAUGCAUUCACAUGCCUCCGAGAAAUGGAUAGACUACUGCACUGACCACUGACCAUAAACUGUUACAGUGACCAUUGCAAAUGCAACUGUAGGAAUAAAACCAUAGCGAUAUAAACUGGACACAGACCUCUUCUCCAGGCAGCCACGUACUCAUGUGUUUGAAUCACGGGGAUAUUACCAACGCAUAAUCUCAGUGUUCCAAUUCUUUUGUGAUCCAGUCUUAAUGGCAGGACAACAAGCCUGGUUCCCUACAUUUUUUGAGAAAAUAAUUUUUGAGAAAAACAUCUCUUUUGUUUAUCCAUUGCAAGUCUAGGAAAAGGGCACUCCAUCUAUAAUUUUGCCUCAAGUCCAACAGAAGAAAACCUGUUGCCAGGUAAGUAAAACCAGUGUGGAAAUAUUUACUCUUGCCCAUUACUAGGACACGGGUUGCUUUGUGCUGUUCUGGGAACAGAUGUGAGAUGUCCUCCUUGGCUCUUGAAGUAAGCAAAGAACUUUGAUUUGCCGCCAAGGAGGUUAGCUCUGACUUAUUACUUCCAAAGGCUCCUUACCCUGCAAUGCCUUUACCCUUCUUUAGCUGAUGGAUGUGUCUGUCUUCCUACACAGUUUUUUGAUUAAAUUGUUGUAAUUUAGCUAUCAUUUCAGAGGUGAGAGAGACUAUAAUGUUCUCCUCUCUCUUCCCCUAAACCCUUGCUUUCUAUUGCAAGCCACUGCAUUACAUCUGUGGAUCCCAAACAUUUUACAGUGGAAGGCCAGAGUCAUCAGACCUGGUAGGUCAAAGCUUUGCCCAAGUUUACAACGCAGCAGUUCGGGGGAGAAGCCUCUAAAAUGAGGAUGCAAGGAAACAGUCUCACGUUGUGCCAGAGAACGUUCCAAUUGAAUAUUACUAAGAAUUUCUUCACAGAGAGGGUGUGCAAGCCUUGGAAGGGACUGUCCAGAGAAGUGAUGGAGUCUCAGUCCCUAGAGGUAUUCAAGAGAUUUAUAGACACGGCAUCAAGGGAUGGGCUGGUGAUGGGACUUGGUAGGUCAGGCUGACGAUCAGAAUUUGAAGGUCCUUUCCAUCUUAGAUGAUUCUGUAACAAACAUGUUUUCUAAGUACUCUUCCAAUUAUUUAUCCAUUCA
Gallus gallus (chicken) is the source of this 1764-nucleotide long non-coding RNA. Lineage: Eukaryota; Metazoa; Chordata; Aves; Galliformes; Phasianidae. The record is from Ensembl.